AUACGUAGGGAGCGAGCGUUGUCCGGAAUGAUUGGGCGUAAAGGGCGCGUAGGCGGCGCGGUAAGUCUGGAGUGAAAGUCCUGCUUUCAAGGUGGGAAUUGCUUUGGAUACUGCCGCGCUUGAGUGCAGGAGAGGUUAUCGGAAUUCCCGGUGUAGCGGUGAAAUGCGUAGAGAUCGGGAGGAACACCAGUGGCGAAGGCGGGUAACUGGACUGCAACUGACGCUGAGGCGCGAAAGUGUGGGGAGCAAACAGGAUUAGAUACCCUGGUAGUCCACACUGUAAACGAUGAAUGCUAGGUGUAGGGGGUAUCGACCCCUUCUGUGCCGCAGUCAACACAAUAAGCAUUCCGCCUGGGGAGUACGGCCGCAAGGUUGAAACUCAAAUGAAUUGACGGGG
This 397-nucleotide ribosomal RNA is filed under the name uncultured bacterium. Its description in RNAcentral is "partial 16S ribosomal RNA". It matches the Rfam family "Bacterial small subunit ribosomal RNA", at positions 523 to 918 of the family's 1533-position model. The record is from RNAcentral.